Molecule: ribosomal RNA, 743 nt
Filed under: Lactococcus lactis
Lineage: Bacteria; Bacillati; Bacillota; Bacilli; Lactobacillales; Streptococcaceae
Description: bacterial SSU rRNA
Rfam family: Bacterial small subunit ribosomal RNA
Source: RNAcentral
CUGGCGGCGUGCUAUACUGCAGUUGAGCGCUGAAGGUUGGUACUUGUACCGACUGGAUGAGCAGCGAACGGGUGAGUAACGCGUGGGGAAUCUGCCUUUGAGCGGGGGACAACAUUUGGAAACGAAUGCUAAUACCGCAUAAAAACUUUAAACACAAGUUUUAAGUUUGAAAGAUGCAAUUGCAUCACUCAAAGAUGAUCCCGCGUUGUAUUAGCUAGUUGGUGAGGUAAAGGCUCACCAAGGCGAUGAUACAUAGCCGACCUGAGAGGGUGAUCGGCCACAUUGGGACUGAGACACGGCCCAAACUCCUACGGGAGGCAGCAGUAGGGAAUCUUCGGCAAUGGACGAAAGUCUGACCGAGCAACGCCGCGUGAGUGAAGAAGGUUUUCGGAUCGUAAAACUCUGUUGGUAGAGAAGAACGUUGGUGAGAGUGGAAAGCUCAUCAAGUGACGGUAACUACCCAGAAAGGGACGGCUAACUACGUGCCAGCAGCCGCGGUAAUACGUAGGUCCCGAGCGUUGUCCGGAUUUAUUGGGCGUAAAGCGAGCGCAGGUGGUUUAUUAAGUCUGGUGUGAAAGGCAGUGGCUCAACCAUUGUAUGCAUUGGAAACUGGUAGACUUGAGUGCAGGAGAGGAGAGUGGAAUUCCAUGUGUAGCGGUGAAAUGCGUAGAUAUAUGGAGGAACACCGGUGGCGAAAGCGGCUCUCUGGGCCUGUAACUGACACUGAGGCUCGAAAGCGUGGG